GAUGAAGAACGUAGCGAAAUGCGAUAAGUAAUGUGAAUUGCAGAAUUCAGUGAAUCAUCGAAUCUUUGAACGCACAUUGCGCCCGCUAGUAUUCUGGCGGGCAUGCCUGUCCGAGCGUCAUUUCAACCCUCAAGCCCCCGGGCUUGGUGUUGGGGAUCGGCGAGCCUCCGCGCCCGCCGUCCCCUAAAUCUAGUGGCGGUCUCGCUGUAGCUUCCUCUGCGUAGUAGCACACCUCGCACUGGGAAACAGCGCGGCCACGCCGUUAAACCCCCAACUUCUGAACGUUUGACCUCGGAUCAGGUAGGAAUACCCGCUGAACUUAAGCAUAUAUAAGCGGAGGA
This 341-nucleotide unclassified non-coding RNA is filed under the name soil metagenome. RNAcentral's name for it is "partial contains 5.8S ribosomal RNA, internal transcribed spacer 2, and large subunit ribosomal RNA". The stretch from base 1 to 120 matches the Rfam family "5.8S ribosomal RNA", at positions 35 to 154 of the family's 154-position model. The record is from RNAcentral.